This 468-nucleotide ribosomal RNA is filed under the name uncultured bacterium. Its description in RNAcentral is "partial 16S ribosomal RNA". It matches the Rfam family "Bacterial small subunit ribosomal RNA", at positions 28 to 507 of the family's 1533-position model. The record is from RNAcentral.
GACGAACGCUGGCGGCGGGCUUAACACAUGCAAGUCGAACGGAAAGGCCCUGCUUUUGUGGGGUGCUCGAGUGGCGAACGGGUGAGUAACACGUGAGUAACCUGCCCUUGACUUUGGGAUAACUUCAGGAAACUGGGGCUAAUACCGGAUAGGAGCUCCUGCUGCAUGGUGGGGGUUGGAAAGUUUCGGCGGUUGGGGAUGGACUCCCGGCUUAUCAGCUUGUUGGUGGGGUAGUGGCUUACCAAGGCUUUGACGGGUAGCCUGCCUGAGAGGGUGAACGGCCACAUUGGGACUGAGAUACGGCCCAGACUCCUACGGGAGGCAGCAGUGGGGAAUAUUGCACAAUGGGCGGAAGCCUGAUGCAGCAACGCCGCGUGCGGGAUGACGGCCUUCGGGUUGUAAACCGCUUUCGCCUGUGACGAAGCGUGAGUGACGGUAAUGGGUAAAGAAGCACCGGCUAACUACGUG